RNAcentral lists this long non-coding RNA (460 nucleotides) under Arachis ipaensis. RNAcentral describes it as "long non-coding RNA (AIPA_LNC000345)". Lineage: Eukaryota; Viridiplantae; Streptophyta; Magnoliopsida; Fabales; Fabaceae. The record is from RNAcentral.
AAUCACUAAAAGCUCAUUUUUAUAUUGAAAUCAAUAUUAGAGCAUCAUUCUUUCCUUCAGUGAUUCAAACUGUACAAAUAGUUCAUUUCUAACUAAGCCGAACUCAACGCAUAAAGUUCAUUAAACAAAUUAAGCUUGAAAACAUAAAUAUUCAAAUAAUAUAAUUCCUCAAAUCCAACCCUUUUUAAACAUCUUUUCAAACAAGACUAGGAUUUUGUAGAAAUUUCGGCAGCACCUCCCCUAAAACUUGGACUUUUGCCACCCGGUUCGGGUCCCAACUAAACCGUUUCUCAUUCCUUUUCAACAGCUCAAAACCAGAAAUCAAUUCAAAAGCAAACUAAAUCCAAUAGUUGCCUCAGUGGCAUAUCUCAAGAAAACCAUUUCAAAAUCAACUCAAUAUCAACCGAUUUAACUCAUUUCUAAAGCUUUAAAGAAUCGGUUCAGCGAUAAAUCGUUUAUC